Molecule: ribosomal RNA, 222 nt
Filed under: uncultured bacterium
Lineage: Bacteria
Description: partial 16S ribosomal RNA
Rfam family: Bacterial small subunit ribosomal RNA
Source: RNAcentral
GAUCAUAGCUCAGGACGAACGCUGGCGGCGUGCCUAAUACAUGCAAGUAGAACGCUGAAGGAGGAGCUUGCUCUUUCCGGAUGAGUUGCGAACGGGUGAGUAACGCGUAGGUAACCUGCCUGGUAGCGGGGGAUAACUAUUGGAAACGAUAGCUAAUACCGCAUAAGAGUAGAUAUCGCAUGAUAGCUGCUUGAAAGGUGCAAUUGCACCACUACCAGAUGG